This 385-nucleotide unclassified non-coding RNA is filed under the name uncultured bacterium. RNAcentral describes it as "contains 16S-23S intergenic spacer region". The record is from RNAcentral.
UCCGGUUUGGCACCGGCAGUCUUCCUAGAGUCCCCGCCAUUACGCGCUGGCAACUAAGAACAGGGGUUGCGCUCGUUAGGGGACUUAACCCAACACCUCAAGGCACGAGCUGACGACAGCCAUGCAACACCUGUGCAGGUUACGCCCGAAGGCAAUCCCUCGGCUUUCACCGAGUUAAUCCCUGCAUGUCAAGCCCUGGUAAGGUUCUUCGCGUUGCUUCGAAUUGAGCAACAUCCUCCACCGCUUGUGUGAGCCCCCGUCAAUUCCUUUGAGUUUUAGCCUUGCGACCGUACUCCCCAGGCGGAGUGCUAAAUGCGUUAACGACGGCACCCGGGGACUUUAUAACCCCAGACACCAAGCAUUCAUCGUUUAAGGCCAGGACUAC